Molecule: ribosomal RNA, 310 nt
Filed under: Theileria orientalis complex isolate 9196
Lineage: Eukaryota; Apicomplexa; Aconoidasida; Piroplasmida; Theileriidae
Description: SSU rRNA
Rfam family: Eukaryotic small subunit ribosomal RNA
Source: RNAcentral
UUAAAAUUGUUGCAGUUAAAAAGCUCGUAGUUGAAUUUCUGCUGCAUUACAUAUCUCUUGUUUGAGUUUGUUUUUGUGGCUUAUUUCGGUUUGAUUUUUUCUUUCCGGAUGAUUACUUUGAGAAAAUUAGAGUGCUCAAAGCAGGCUUUUGCCUUGAAUAGUUUAGCAUGGAAUAAUAAAGUAGGACUUUGGUUCUAUUUUGUUGGUUUUAGGUACCAAAGUAAUGGUUAAUAGGAACAGUUGGGGGCAUUCGUAUUUAACUGUCAGAGGUGAAAUUCUUAGAUUUGUUAAAGACAAACUACUGCGAAAG